RNAcentral lists this unclassified non-coding RNA (230 nucleotides) under uncultured fungus. RNAcentral's name for it is "sequence contains ITS1". Lineage: Eukaryota; Fungi. The record is from RNAcentral.
GUAUUAAUUGCGUGUUAUCGCAAGAGACAUUCUACACUGUAUCGAGUUUGUGUGAAAACGCAAGCCCCCCCUCUGAACGAGCCAAAAGGGGGACCCGCGCGGUGAUGCACAAAGGGGUGAGAUGGAUUUUGUGCGAGAGCGCUCGGGCGUGCACGACCUUUGAAGGUCAGCGACAGCCCUCGCACCUCGGUUGUACGAUAAUGAUCCUUCCGCAGGUUCACCUACGGAAA